CCACCAAGAGACAACGUGCGCUCCGACUGCCACCCCCUGCUCCACGACAUGCUGGAGUCCAGUGCAAGGGCCUGGGCGCGCCGAGGUCCCGGGGCCGGGUCUCGCCAGUCGCUUUGCGAGGUGGGCAGCUGCAGUGGCUGCUGGCCUGCGCCCGGCGGAUGGGGUGGGGACGCCUGCAGAGAAGGGAGCAGGGAGCACAGCCCGCGGAAAGUUAGCCGUGUGUCAGCAUGCCACACCCUUGGCACCCGCUUGGAAAGGGGCUGCGCGCCACCUGGGAGGGCGGUGGAUGUCCGUGAUGGGCCUGAGCAGGCCGCCUGGGGAAGGGAGUUGUGCCUCCGCCGGUAUUUCCCUCCUCAAGGAGAGACCCAGGGGUGGCGGCAGCCGCUGAAACGUGAGACCCAGCUGGGGACCACGGAGAGGAAGAGGCUGCAGUAGCUGAGGUGCACACCUCAGCCACCUGGUGCUGGAGAGGAGGUGCUGCUGCACUGCAGAGGGACCGCGGUCCCCAGCGCCACACGUGGGGCUUCAGCCAACUAGAUUCGGUCGCCGGAGACGGACCGGGUGACCCUGAGGCGCGCGCAUCUGGUGCAUGACUGGAGAGGGUGCGACCCGGAACUUGUGGGCCUGGGGACUGCGCCAUGGAGAAGGGUUUUUCAAGGCAGAUAUUGAGGCCCUUUUUGCGCUGCCCGGGUCUGGCCGCUGGCAGGACCAGACACAACACAUGGGACAUCUGAAAGUUACAGUUGUGGAAAAAGUCUCAUGAAAUCUGUAUCUGCUGGAAUCACAGCGUUGAUUGUUUUUCUUCUUGCUGCCUGAAAUAUUCUCCUAUGAAGUCAUCACUGAAAUAGACGUGUUACCACUGAAAUGAGAUUAACAAUUAAAAAUAAAUGAGCUGCUGGUUGUUGUAUUCUCUAGGAACCA
Molecule: long non-coding RNA, 921 nt
Organism: Ochotona curzoniae (black-lipped pika)
Lineage: Eukaryota; Metazoa; Chordata; Mammalia; Lagomorpha; Ochotonidae
Exons: 3
Source: RefSeq, a predicted model, not a curated record